ACCACCGGCCACUCUAUCGCGGUUCCGAUGCAAAUCGGGAAUGAGGAAAGUCCGGACAACGUAGAGCACCACACCACCUAACGGGUGGGCUGCACCUCAGCAAUGAGGUGUGGACAGAUAGUGUCACAGAAAGCUAUACCGCUCGCCUUCGUCCUUUGGGGCUACGGCGAGUAAGGGUGAAAACGUGCGGUAAGAGCGCACGCCCGGGCGGGGCAACCCGUCGGGGGGAUAAACCUUGUGGGUUGAAAUGCCACGUACAUCCCGGGGCCUGCGGGCCGCUGAGUUGCUCGCUCAGUUUUCCCUUCGGGGAUGCCGGGAGGGGUAGGCAGAUAGAGCCGUCCUGUGAAGGCCGGCCUGGAUAAAUGAUAGAGGCUCCGCUUCGGCGGAGAACAGAAUCCGGCUUAUCGGCCGGGGGUGGAU
Molecule: RNase P RNA, 420 nt
Filed under: Lewinella sp.
Lineage: Bacteria; Pseudomonadati; Bacteroidota; Saprospiria; Saprospirales; Lewinellaceae
Also listed under: 1 other name
Description: RNase P RNA component class A
Rfam family: Bacterial RNase P class A
About the family: Ribonuclease P (RNase P) is a ubiquitous endoribonuclease, found in archaea, bacteria and eukarya as well as chloroplasts and mitochondria. Its best characterised activity is the generation of mature 5'-ends of tRNAs by cleaving the 5'-leader elements of precursor-tRNAs. Cellular RNase Ps are ribonucleoproteins.
Source: RNAcentral